UACGUAGGGGGCAAGCGUUGUCCGGAAUCAUUGGGCGUAAAGGGCGCGUAGGCGGCCAUUCAAGUCGGGGGUGAAAGCCUGUGGCUCAACCACAGAAUUGCCUUCGAUACUGUUUGGCUUGAGUUUGGUAGAGGUUGGUGGAACUGCGAGUGUAGAGGUGAAAUUCGUAGAUAUUCGCAAGAACACCAGUGGCGAAGGCGGCCAACUGGACCAAUACUGACGCUGAGGCGCGAAAGCGUGGGGAGCAAACAGG
RNAcentral lists this ribosomal RNA (253 nucleotides) under uncultured bacterium. RNAcentral describes it as "partial 16S ribosomal RNA". It matches the Rfam family "Bacterial small subunit ribosomal RNA", at positions 524 to 776 of the family's 1533-position model. The record is from RNAcentral.